CGAGAAAGCCCGCAAGGGUGAGUAAAGCGGCGCACGGGUGCGUAACACGUGGGUAAUCUGCCCUAGAGUCCGGAAUAACUCGCCGAAAGGCGUGCUAAUGCCGGAUGAGACCACGGGAGCCUCGGCUCCUGGGGGAAAAGGUGGCCUCUGUAUACAAGCUAUCGCUCUAGGAUGAGCCCGCGGCCCAUCAGCUCGUUGGCGGGGUAAUGGCCCACCAAGGCUACGACGGGUAGCUGGUCUGAGAGGACGAUCAGCCACACUGGAACUGAGACACGGUCCAGACUCCUACGGGAGGCAGCAGUGGGGAAUCUUGCGCAAUGGGCGAAAGCCUGACGCAGCAACGCCGCGUGUGAUGAAGGUCUUCGGAUCGUAAAGCACUGUCGCGAGGGACG
RNAcentral lists this ribosomal RNA (392 nucleotides) under uncultured Anaeromyxobacter sp. RNAcentral's name for it is "bacterial SSU rRNA". It matches the Rfam family "Bacterial small subunit ribosomal RNA", at positions 67 to 447 of the family's 1533-position model. Lineage: Bacteria; Pseudomonadati; Myxococcota; Myxococcia; Myxococcales; Anaeromyxobacteraceae. The record is from RNAcentral.